CUUUGGACCAAGGGCAAUGUUUCCUUCAGUUCCCCCACCGCUCACCGCUGUUGUUCCCCCACUGUUGCGUCCCUACUGUUCCACACCGCCGUGUCGCUCCUCCUUGUAUCUUAGGAGUUCAGGAACAAUACUGCUUCCACUAUGAAACCUAAUGAUUCUCUUCUUUGAUUCGGUUCCAGUAAUCCUGAGGUACUUAGUCUCAUGUUGGUCUACAGAGCUGAUGCAGUGUUGCAGCGGCUGGUGUGGGUGUUCAGGGCCGAAGUGUGCUUUGUUCUGGUCAGCAGUAGAAGGUUGUUGGAUCCUGGUUAUGUCUGGUUGCUUAAAUUCAGUUGCAAGUUUGCAAUGCUACCAAAACAAAGGGUCUUUAAAGCUAGAUGUUGCAACCGCAAAGCUGCUAAUUGUUCAAGUUUGCAUAUUGCUGCAAACUCUUCACUUUGAAAGAUAUUGCGUUGGAAUUCGUAAAGAUUAGCUUGCUCUACAUGGAGCUUAAGAAGAUUUAUGAGGUUAGUUAUUUGAGAAUUUGCUCGUUUUUACCUUAUGUUUAUUUCUUCUGCACGUGAAGACAUGGCAUCACUUUUGUAUAACUUAACAGUGUGCAUGAACCAUUGUAACAUACCAAUUAAUAAAAUUCUAUGUGUAAAUUGUUCUUAAAUAGUCUGCAUAUAUAGAACUUAAACAUUUGAUCAACUCGGAAGUGUUAAAAGCGGCAUUUUCACUUGAUCAAUAACUAGUGUUUUUGUAUUAUAAUUAUUUCAUGAUUGGAGGAAUUCUAGAAACAUGAACUUGUUAGAUAGGAAUUUCUUUCAUAUGAUCAAACAAGCCUCAAAAGUGCAUAAGAGUGCCACCAUUCCAGAAAGUUAAGCUUUAAUCUAAGAGUGCUGGCACUCUUAGAUUCUGAUUAAGAGCAUCGAAAGUUAAGCUUUUAAAAUAUAUGCAGUUUCAGAUAUAUGUUAGAUCUCCAUCCCCCCAAGAUGGCUUAACCUUCUGGAAUGAAGCCUUAAUCUAGGAGUAUGACUUGCCACAUUUAUGUUUCUGAACUUCUGAUUAUAGCUAUAGUAAAUUAUGGUAAUACCUUCUGGAAUCAUACUACAUUAUUGAUGUACUUGUCUGUUGAACUUGUCACUUGUAGACUCCCUCUCACAUUACAAGCCUUGGAACUAUUUUGUUUCACUAUUAGCACUAUUGUUUUCUGAUAAAAUUGAAGAGGAAAAACUGGACUUUUUCGUCUUUUUCUAGGGGGGAAAUGUCUUCAGUAAUGCUCUAAUUCUUGUAUGUUUAACUAAAAUGCAGGAACAAUCAUAGCAAUCUCUAAAGAUCGUGUCAGACCAUCUCCAAGCCCUGACAGCUGGAAACUGAAUGAGAUUUUUGUUACUGGUUGUGUCAUCGGGGCAUAUCUCGCCUUAGUCACUAUGUUAUUUUACUGGGUCGUAAAUGGCACAGAUUUCUUCGAGGAUAAUUUGGGUGUGAGCUCUCUACCUAGAAACACAGAGAAAACUUCAUCUGCAAUAUAUAUGCAAGUUAGCAACAUUAGCCAGGCCCUCAUCUUUAUUACUCGCACUCAGAGCUGGUCAUUUCUGGAGAGACCUAGAGUUCUUCUCAUGUCUGCAUUUGUGGUGGCGCAAUUGGUAUUCAAUAAUCCGAGGGAGCGGCUUUUUACCUUUGAGGAGAUAGAUGAAGUUCGAGAAAUGUUGGCAAACUUCAUAACCAGUGAUUGUCUUUGAUAUUUUAUUGUACUGAAUCUUAAAUUAUGGAUGCUAGCUAGUUUUUCAUAUGAUUGUAAUGUAAUCGACUUUUAUAUUUACAAUUAUAUACGAUUUAUUUUAAUUAUCUAUAUAA
Spinacia oleracea (spinach) is the source of this 1836-nucleotide RNA transcript. It is a transcript of the gene named plasma membrane ATPase 4-like, with no coding region annotated. The transcript is spliced from 5 exons. Lineage: Eukaryota; Viridiplantae; Streptophyta; Magnoliopsida; Caryophyllales; Amaranthaceae. The record is from RefSeq and is a predicted model, not a curated record.